GUAUAAUUGUCAUGGCAAUUUUUCAAAUACUUUUACAGUGAGGACACAAGUUAAUUUUGGAUUAUACAGGGUGUAUAAAAAAAAGGUAAUCUAACUUCAGCGCACUAUUAUACGUGAAUCACUCGGCAUAUGAACAACUGGUUUUCAUAUUCGGAAAGAUCAGGCUUUUAGCUAUUGAAUGACAUGCUUUUCAUGCCAAGUGGAGAAAAAAUAAGCAUGUACGAGGCCGAUCAAAAAUGUUAGUCAAAAUCGCAUAUUUUCACCUCUGUGCCUAAUUAAAACAAUGCAUAACAAAAGAAAAAGCAAUUAAUCACGAACGUGUCGUAGCUUAGCUAAGAU
Non-coding RNA from Paramuricea clavata, 339 nucleotides. The record is from the annotation of a GenBank genome assembly. NCBI's taxonomy places the organism in Eukaryota, Metazoa, Cnidaria, Anthozoa, Malacalcyonacea, Plexauridae.